GUCUCUUCUCGCAUUCCAUACCGCAUGUGGUCUUUUUUGACAAUUACACUCGGCUAGUGAUCCUUUUGGACAAAUUUUUUGCUAAUUUGUGUCAUACACUUAAAUAUCUUGUGAUAUUUCUCAAGUAAGUUUGUGUAACUUACUUGUGCUUGUGGGUAAUCUUGUUGUGCUCAUCUUAGUAGAACAUGUUGUUGGUGCACGUAGUUGAUCCUAGUAUAUUUAGGAUCUGUUCUUGAAAAAUAUCAUCUUAGUUUAUUUCCACAUUAGGAUAAAGCUGAAUCCAUAGAAGUUUUUAAAUCGCCUAUUCACCCCCCUCUAGGUGAGAGCGUGGUCCUUUCAGCUAUUGUAUGAUAUCUUUACGUGCCUCGUCGAUUGGGAGCGCAUGAGCGGUGGUAGCUGGGAGCGGCGGUCUUGUUCCACUUCUUUUGACUCGGAUCUUGUCGCCUCAGAGACUGCAGAGGGUUAAAUCUAAUCGAUUAGUUGUGCUCAUGGUUACGGGAAAUUUGAGCAAAUGGAAACUUGGACGGGAGAAGAAUCUCCCCUCUCUCUUUUCAAAGUUUUUUUUAAAAUGGUUAUAGGUUGAGGUUAAGCACAAGGUGUGUUUUACUUCACAUCCACUUGUAAAGAUUUGAAGAGUGAACCUUGGUGCAUCUAUCCAAGUAUUCAUGUAGUUUAUGUUUCAAACAUACAUUUAUCAAAAGUCAAAUGCUUUUCCUUCAUAGUUUAGGAAAAAAAUGGCUUUCCGCAAACAAACCAACCCUGACAACCUCUUGACUACCCAGCGUAAUAUUAUUUUAUCACUUUUUUUGUAACCUGCGAGUACAUUCAUAGUACUUACUUGUACGGAUCAUGUGAAAAUGGCGAUACUAUUGAGUGACCAGAUAGGGCUACGGAGGUACACUCAACUUGCAUUGUGGCGAUUGAUGGGCUCAAGAUUAUUAUUAUGGUAUUUGCUUCCACCAUGUAACCUAGCCUUCAACUCAGAGAGUUGUAAUGAAUUAAUCUUUGCAUCUUCUAUGUAAUAAAAUGACGCUUGUUCUUGAUAUUCUUUUUUGUACCGGGUGUGCUAGCUUUUGAUCCAGGGAUAGCACAUAAAUAUAAGAAGAUUUGGACCUUAUCGGUUCAAAUCGUUACAACCUUAUAGGUCCGAGUGAGGGGUGCGACGAUCCAAUUGAUGGAGCACCCAUGAUGAGCUACUACACAUUGUGGGUGGGUGUGUUAGAGUCCGGGUUGGAAAGAAGAGUGCGCAUGUAAGAUGACACGAUUGUCAACCAAAUAUCGAUAAUAAAUGUACUUUGGAAGUAUGAACAUGUUACUACCGUGGGUACACGACAUAGUACUACCGAGGGUACAUGUUAUUUGGUAGCGGUUAAUCAAUUCCGAGCCUACUUAAGACAUGAGAGAGCAAGCCCUUUUCUCAAGCAAUGCUACAACACCGAACAACUCACCUUGAGCAAACUUCCCACCUCAAUGUUUAGAUAUACUAGUCUGGUUUCCUUAGUAGAAUCCACCUUCCAACUAUAAGCAGGCUUGAGAGGCAACAACAACAUGCACACAUGAGUGUCGUGUGUCACCAAUGCAACCCUAUGUAUUGUCAAUUGUGCUAGUGACCUUGUUUCCCCAAAGAGAACCAACCCUAUGACACGGAUGCAUUCUCAUGUAUAGGUUUGUCUAGUACUUUCGGUACUAUGUUAGCAAUCACGAGCUAGCUGGUUCAAUUUCUUUUGUUCGAAAUUGUGUUUGUAUUCAAAUAGACAGUUUAUGAUUUGCAGCCUCAAAGACAUUUAUUUAAAUCAAAUCGGUCCAUAUUCAACUGCCUUUUGUUAUGUUAUUUUAAAUUGUGGACGAGUUAAUGGAAAGUAACAAAUAUGUAGCACUAAUCCAAAUAAAAAGCGGCAAUCUAAUUUGGCUUCCGGGCGCAAAAAAUAUUUUGGAAAUGUUUUAAAAAUCCCAACAUUUUUAUGCAUUUAUAGUCACAUUCAAAUGCUACCUGCAAACUUUUACGCAAAAAGAUUAAACGUUUGGGCAUAUGCCAAAGAAAAAAAUAAAUACGAACACCAAAUGUUACCUAUUUUUUUUUCUUCAAUGACCUACUGCUUCGUUUCGCAUGAAAAUUUUCAAGCAUGCUUACGACACUAAUAUGAACAUCCACAAAAAAAUUCAGAGUUUUUGUAAACAAUUUACCACUUCUUUUUCGUUACUAUUCAUCCACGAGGAAAUACUCCCGGGAGCUAAAACGCCCCUCCCAAUAAAAAAGAUACUAUUUCUUGCUAGAGGUAACUUUGGAGCUUUCAUUAAAGUGACAGGUUGGGAAGCAUCAAUAUUUAUCAAAGAUACAGAAACAAGCUUUCUCCCCUUAAUAUUUGUAUAUCAAAUUAGUCCUACUCACAUGUCACGGAUGAAAGGUGGAUACUAAUUGUAGGCCUUGUUGACCCACGUAACGGGGUGUAUGGGGCCAAUUGAGCAUGGAUAGAGGGUUUUAUUAUGUCUAAUGUUGAUGCAAGUUUCCAUGUGAAUUCUGCCUCAUAAAGUAGUUGGGAACGACACAAGAAGAUUUUUGCAGUUGAUGGCGCUACAACGCAAGCCAUGUCCGUUAUGAGAGGAGUUGAAUUGGCAACUGAAUUGGGUCCUCACCGUAUCAUAUUCAAUGAAUUGUUUACAAGUUAUUGAACACUUUAGGUGUGAGAUUUCUCUUCAACGGUCUGCCCCCCAUUUUAUGAGGAUAUUUGUGUCCAGGCCUCAUGUUUCAACACAGUAAUAUUUAUCAUCUACUCCCUCCAUUAAUUCCUAAAUAUAAGUCUUUUAAGAGAUUUAACUAUAGACUAGAUACGGAGGAAAAUGAAUGAAUCUAUAUUUUAAAGUAUAUCUAUAUACACUCGUAUGUAGUCUUGAAUUGAAUCUUUAAGAAAACUUAUAUUUACAAACAGAACGAGUAUAAUAGGGAUGCCAAUGUGUUAUGUAUUUCUUGAGACGUGGUGCUCCGGUACAGGGGAGGGUGAUGGACCGUAGCGAUCGCCGGUGUGUACCGGUGUAUGCUUGGAUCAUGGUCGGUGGCUGCUGCUCAGUGACGACCGGCUAAAAUUGCGGUGGAGUGGCUGGCUAAAACUAAAUAACCAUAACACGUGCACAUACAACGGUGAGUCUGGUGUUCGAGGCAUGCGUAGAAGAUGGGUCCAUGAGGAGGGAGAAGAGAUGAAAUGGAUAUGCUUUCGUGCGGUCAUCGACUAAUUGAAAGGGCAUGUGAGCGCACGUAGUGUGUGUGUGUGUGUGGAGCCGAUUAAUGGAGCAUCCAUGAUGAGAUGGCAACAACAACCGUUGGUUGUGGCUGGGUGCAUUGGGUUUUUGUUUGGAAAGUACCAUGUACAUACAUAUCUGUGAAUUUACUUGGGAAGUAAGUAUUACCGAG
RNAcentral lists this long non-coding RNA (3406 nucleotides) under Hordeum vulgare. RNAcentral's name for it is "long non-coding RNA (HVUL_LNC013781)". Lineage: Eukaryota; Viridiplantae; Streptophyta; Magnoliopsida; Poales; Poaceae. The record is from RNAcentral.